Molecule: non-coding RNA, 545 nt
Organism: Cyanistes caeruleus (blue tit)
Lineage: Eukaryota; Metazoa; Chordata; Aves; Passeriformes; Paridae
Source: RefSeq, a predicted model, not a curated record
UCUGUGUUCCACAGGAACCCUGUCCUACAGCCCACCAGAGUGGAUCCACCAGCAACGCUACCAUGGCCAGGCAGCAACAAUCUGGUCCCUGGGCCUCCUGCUCUACCAGCUGGUCAUAGGGAAGCACCCAUUCAUGAGGGGCCAGCAGAUCAUCUGGGGGCGGAUCUUGUUCCCACGACGGCUCUCCCAAGAAUGCCAAGAUAUUAUUAAGAGGUGUUUGUCCAUGCAACCCUCGGACAGGCCAUCCUUAGAAGACCUUUUCCGCGAUCCUUGGAUGCAGGCUGUUCAUCUGCCCUAGGAGAUGGGAGAGAUCCACAUGCACAGUUGGAUCCAGGGGCCUGGCAGGCAAGGAGAAGGAGCCCCUGGAGAAGCUGUUACCAGCUGGGGCUGCUGCUGGAGACACCAAGGACAACCUCAAGGAUGGCAAUCUCUUCCUCCAGCUGGCCAGCUGAAGAUGAUGGAUUUCAAUUCUGGCAUGUCUUCUUCAAAGACUCGCUCCACGCCCAAUUUGCAGGUGAGUCCACAGCCAGGGGAUGCUCCCAGAU